Molecule: non-coding RNA, 45 nt
Filed under: Echinostoma caproni
Lineage: Eukaryota; Metazoa; Platyhelminthes; Trematoda; Plagiorchiida; Echinostomatidae
Source: RNAcentral
GCACUGCUGACGGAUCCCAAACAGGACGAAACAGCUGUCCAGUGC